AUCUAGCUGACGUGUCCCAAAUAAGAUGAAACGAACAUCCAAGAU
This 45-nucleotide non-coding RNA is filed under the name Schistosoma curassoni. The record is from RNAcentral. Lineage: Eukaryota; Metazoa; Platyhelminthes; Trematoda; Strigeidida; Schistosomatidae.